ACGGGGGGGGCAAGCGUUGUUCGGAAUUACUGGGCGUAAAGGGCUCGUAGGCGGCCAACUAAGUCAGACGUGAAAUCCCUCGGCUUAACCGGGGAACUGCGUCUGAUACUGGAUGGCUUGAGAUUGGGAGAGGGAUGCGGAAUUCCAGGUGUAGCGGUGAAAUGCGUAGAUAUCUGGAGGAACACCGGUGGCGAAGGCGGCAUCCUGGACCAACACUGACGCUGAGGAGCGAAAGCCAGGGGAGCAAACGGG
Molecule: ribosomal RNA, 252 nt
Filed under: uncultured bacterium
Lineage: Bacteria
Description: partial 16S ribosomal RNA
Rfam family: Bacterial small subunit ribosomal RNA
Source: RNAcentral